UGUGCAUCAUUCUCCUUUAAUUUCGGUUUCCAUGGGGAUUUAAAAAAAAAAACUAACAAAACAACUGAGAAUGGCAAUGCAUUUGAACAGGUUUUUUUUUUUUUUAUCUAAAACCAAUUUGAAGCAUCGGACAAACACACACACACACACAAAUAUUACUUUGGCACAGAAAAUGAGACGUGUGUGUGGAGGACAAGAUCUUGACACAGGGAACCACGAGAACUCCAGACAAGUUCCACACAAGCGCAACAACAAUCAUACCUUCACACUAGACCUUAGACAAAUCCAUACCUGCAAUCCCCAACACUGACAUUCAUAUCUUCACACUAAGAGUCAUAUCUUUACACUAAGAGUCAUAUAUUCACACUAGAGCCAAAUCCAUCCCUGCAAUCCUCAACACUGACAGUCAUAUCUUCACACUAAGAGUCAAAUCUUUACACUAAGAGUCAAAUCCAUCCCUGCAAUCCUCAACACUAAGACAGCAUGAACUCUACGUGUGCAGACAUGAUGAACACUGACGCGGUCCUCCUCCUCCUCCUCCUCCUCCUCCUCCUCAGCGCCCCAGGCAAACUGGCUUGGUUCCACUUGGUUCCACACAGUAACUUUCCUAUGUCAAACACAGUGCUCAAUAAACAUGUAGGGUCCUUUUCUCAUGCACAUGGGUGAUAAUGUGUUAUAAUGCUUCACAAGGGGGGUAGGUGAGCUAUGCAUGCAUUAUGACGGGUGAGUUUGAGGAACACGUAGGCAGACGGGACGCCGCUGCGUUAAGCGUGUGGGGGGGGGGGGGUCACACCCGGGGCCUCAGCAGGAACCCCAACCGAUCUGGUUCUGCUGGAUCUGGACCUCAGCAGGAACCCCAACCAUUCUGGUUCCGCUGGAUCUGGGCCAGUCUGCUGCUGCAGCUUUGUGAGGGGGCGGAGUCAUGUGUCUAUCUGUCUCCUCGCCCGCUUGCGCACUAGAGCAGAGUUAUCUGCGCCGGCUAACACCUAGAAACACUCCCCACAUCCAGCCUAGCCUGACGCAUGAGUUAGCCAGAUAUCUGCGCCAGCUAACACCUAAACAAGCCUAGCCUAGCCUAGCCUAACAUCCAAGGUGCUGCUUCUCCAGCCUAGCCUAGCCUAGCAUACGAGGCGCUGUUUCUGUAGCCUAGCAUACAAGGUGCUGCUUCUCUAGCCUAGCACACAAGGUGCUGCUUCUCCAGCCUAGCCUAGCCUAGCACACAAGGUGCUGUUUCUGUAGCCUAGCAUACGAGGCGCUGUUUCUCUAGCCUAGCCUAGC
Long non-coding RNA from Clupea harengus (Atlantic herring), 1278 nucleotides. Lineage: Eukaryota; Metazoa; Chordata; Actinopteri; Clupeiformes; Clupeidae. The record is from Ensembl.